Molecule: ribosomal RNA, 1175 nt
Filed under: human gut metagenome
Description: bacterial SSU rRNA
Rfam family: Bacterial small subunit ribosomal RNA
Source: RNAcentral
GACUCCUACGGGAGGCAGCAGUAGGGAGUAUUCGGCAAUGGAGGAAACUCUGACCGAGCAACGCCGCGUGAAUGACGAAGGUCUUCGGAUUGUAAAAUUCUGUUAUAUGGGAAGAAAGAUAAGAUAAGGAAAUGUAUUUUAUUUGACCGUACCAUAUGAGAAAGCCACGGCUAACUACGUGCCAGCAGCCGCGGUAAUACGUAGGUGGCAAGCGUUAUCCGGAAUUAUUGGGCGUAAAGAGAGAGCAGGCGGUUAUUCAAGUCUGAAGUGAAAAGCAGUGGCUUAACCAUUGUAGGCUUUGGAAACUAGAUAGCUAGAGUGCAAGAGAGGUUAGCGGAACUCCAUGUGUAGCGGUGAAAUGCGUAGAUAUAUGGAAGAACACCAGUGGCGAAGGCGGCUAACUAGCUUGAAACUGACGCUCAGUCUCGAAAGCGUGGGUAGCAAAUAGGAUUAGAUACCCUAGUAGUCCACGCUGUAAACGAUGAGCACUAGGUGUUGGGGAAACUCAGCGCCGAAGUUAACACAAUAAGUACUCCGCCUGGGUAGUACGUUCGCAAGAAUGAAACUUAAAGGAAUUGACGGGGGCCCGCACAAGCAGUGGAGCAUGUGGUUUAAUUCGACGCUACGCGAAGAACCUUACCAGGACUUGACAUCUGAUUAAAGGCUCUAGAGAUAGAGAGAUAGUUAUAGUCAAGACAGGUGGUGCAUGGUUGUCGUCAGCUCGUGUCGUGAGAUGUUGGGUUAAGUCCCGCAACGAGCGCAACCCUCGUCCUUAGUUGCCAGCAGUAAGAUGGGAACUCUAAGGAGACCGCCGGUAUAAGCCGGAGGAAGAUGGGGAUGACGUCAAAUCAUCAUGCCCUUUAUGUCCUGGGCGACACACGUGCUACAAUGGCCGGUACAAAGAGAAGCAAGACCGCGAGGUGGAGCGAAUCUCAUAAAGCCGGUCUCAGUUCGGAUUGGAGUCUGCAACUCGACUACAUGAAGUUGGAAUUGCUAGUAAUCGCGAAUCAGCAUGUCGCGGUGAAUACGUUCCCGGGCCUUGUACACACCGCCCGUCAAACCAUGAGAGCUGGUUUUACUCGAAGUCGUUAUUCUAACCGAAAGGGGGAAGGCGCCUAAGGUAGGACUGGUGAUUGGGGUUAAGUCGUAACAAGGUAUCCCUACGGGAACGUGGG